This 266-nucleotide ribosomal RNA is filed under the name uncultured bacterium. RNAcentral describes it as "partial 16S ribosomal RNA". It matches the Rfam family "Bacterial small subunit ribosomal RNA", at positions 92 to 354 of the family's 1533-position model. The record is from RNAcentral.
CGACCGGCGCACGGGUGAGUAACACGUAUGAAACCUGCCCGUAGCAGGGGGAUAAGCGGAAGAAAUUCCGUCUAAUACCGCGUAACAACCCAUGGAGGCAUCUCUGUGGGUUUAAAGGAAGCGAUUCCGGCUACGGAUGGUCAUGCGUCGCAUUAGCUUGUUGGCGGGGUAACGGCCCACCAAGGCGACGAUUGGUAGCCGGACUGAGAGGUUGAACGGCCACAUUGGGACUGAGACACGGCCCAGACUCCUACGGGAGGCAGCAG